Molecule: ribosomal RNA, 373 nt
Filed under: uncultured bacterium
Lineage: Bacteria
Description: bacterial SSU rRNA
Rfam family: Bacterial small subunit ribosomal RNA
Source: RNAcentral
UAAUACGGAGGGUGCAAGCGUUAUCCGGAUUUACUGGGUUUAAAGGGUGCGUAGGUGGGUUGGGAAGUCAGUGGUGAAAUACUCUCGCUUAACGGGAGAACUGCCGUUGAUACUAUCAAUCUUGAAUAUAGUGGAGGUGAGCGGAAUGUGUCAUGUAGUGGUGAAAUACUUAGAUAUGACACAGAACACCAAUUGCGAAGGCAGCUUGCUACACUAUUAUUGACACUGAGGCACGAAAGCGUGGGGAUCAAACAGGAUUAGAUACCCUGGUAGUCCACGCCCUAAACGAUGAUUACUCGAUCUCAGCGAUACACUGUUGGGGUCUAUGUGAAAGCAUUAAGUAAUCCACCUGGGGAGUACGACCGCAAGGUUG